RNAcentral lists this long non-coding RNA (823 nucleotides) under Phoenix dactylifera (date palm). Its description in RNAcentral is "long non-coding RNA (PDAC_LNC001733)". The record is from RNAcentral. Lineage: Eukaryota; Viridiplantae; Streptophyta; Magnoliopsida; Arecales; Arecaceae.
UUAAACCACUCAUCACUAGAUUGAUUUCAAAUUUGAAAGAAGCAGAUCCAAAAGUAACAACCAUUUCACUCAGUAUAGGCCCCUCCAAAACAAUCAACAUAUGACAAUUCUUUGAUUUCCCAACAUUUUCUUUAAACCAAGAAAUGUUAAUCUUGCGACCAGUUCUUGAAAUUAACAAAUGCAUACAAGUGAAUCAGAAAAGAAUAUUUUAAAAUAAAAAAGAUAAACUCGCCUGCAUUUAACUCUCUUUGACAUUUCCAGCAGUGCAUUCUUAUUGAAAAACAUAAUAAAGUACAUAUUGACCACUUGAUAGACAACUCUCCCAAGAUAAACAAGCUUGUUCCUGUAUACGCUAUCUACACCAGUCACCAGCCAGUCACAAAUAAUUUCCAGGGUCUAUCAUACCUGAUCUGGAAUUUCCAGCAUGCAACAGGUAUAAGCCUUUCUAAAUAGAUUAAUUUCACAGUUGUGGCUCUGUCAUCCACAAAGACACCGAUACACAGGUCUCAAAUGGGAUAACUGCAUAGGAAUUAAGGGUGCACAUUGCUCCAGGUCAACCUGAGAACCAAACCAAAUCAAUUUCAUUGGGUCAGUUUGGUUCAGGUUUAAACAUAUAUUGGUUAAGUUUGAGUAAUCUUUUUGAAAAAUCUUAUUGGAACCCUGAUCAUGAGAUUGGGAAACCCAGUCAAAGCUCAAACCAAACUGAUAUAUAUUAUAUAUUAUAUUUAGUUAUAAAACUUAAUAUAAUAUAUGAAGUUCAUAGCAUGACAUACAAACCUCAUGCUAUUACCUCUUGUUUACAUCAAGCAAAUUGCCAUGUGCA